RNAcentral lists this ribosomal RNA (556 nucleotides) under Musca domestica (house fly). RNAcentral describes it as "partial large subunit ribosomal RNA". It matches the Rfam family "Bacterial large subunit ribosomal RNA", at positions 1795 to 2620 of the family's 2925-position model. The record is from RNAcentral. Lineage: Eukaryota; Metazoa; Arthropoda; Insecta; Diptera; Muscidae.
CUCGCCUGUUUAACAAAUACAUGUCUUUUUGAAUUAUUUAAAAAGUCUAACCUGCCCACUGAAUUAUUUUAAAUGGCCGCAGUAUCCUAACUGUGCAAAGGUAGCAUAAUCAUUAGUCUUUUAAUUGAAGGCUGGUAUGAAUGGUUGGACGAGAUAUUAACUGUUUCAUAAAAAUUUAUAAUAGAAUUUUAUUUUUUAGUCAAAAAGCUAAAAUAAAUUUAAAAGACGAGAAGACCCUAUAAAUCUUUAUAUUUAGAUAAUUACAAUUUUGUGGAUUUUUUUUGUUGUGAUUGUUGAUAAUAUUUUAUUGGGGUGAUAUUAAAAUUUAAAAAACUUUUAAUUAAUUAAAUCAUUAAUUUAUGAAUAAUUGAUCCGUUAUUAACGAUUAAAAAUUUAAGUUACUUUAGGGAUAACAGCGUAAUUUUUUUGGAGAGUUCAUAUCGAUAAAAAAGAUUGCGACCUCGAUGUUGGAUUAAGAGAUAUAUUUUGGUGUAGCCGCUAAAAUGUUAAGUCUGUUCUACUUUUAAAUUCUUACGUGAUCUGAGUUCAGACCGGA